RNAcentral lists this ribosomal RNA (465 nucleotides) under Vreelandella stevensii. RNAcentral describes it as "partial 16S ribosomal RNA". It matches the Rfam family "Bacterial small subunit ribosomal RNA", at positions 338 to 795 of the family's 1533-position model. The record is from RNAcentral. Lineage: Bacteria; Pseudomonadati; Pseudomonadota; Gammaproteobacteria; Oceanospirillales; Halomonadaceae.
CCUACGGGUGGCAGCAGUGGGGAAUAUUGGACAAUGGGCGAAAGCCUGAUCCAGCCAUGCCGCGUGUGUGAAGAAGGCCUUCGGGUUGUAAAGCACUUUCAGUGGGGAAGAAAGCCUUGGGGCUAAUACCCUCGAGGAAGGACAUCACCCACAGAAGAAGCACCGGCUAACUCCGUGCCAGCAGCCGCGGUAAUACGGAGGGUGCUAGCGUUAAUCGGAAUUACUGGGCGUAAAGCGCGCGUAGGCGGUCUGAUAAGCCGGUUGUGAAAGCCCCGGGCUCAACCUGGGAACGGCAUCCGGAACUGUCAGGCUAGAGUGCAGGAGAGGAAGGUAGAAUUCCCGGUGUAGCGGUGAAAUGCGUAGAGAUCGGGAGGAAUACCAGUGGCGAAGGCGGCCUUCUGGACUGACACUGACGCUGAGGUGCGAAAGCGUGGGUAGCAAACAGGAUUAGAUACCCCUGUAGUC